This 1022-nucleotide ribosomal RNA is filed under the name Pseudopestalotiopsis theae. RNAcentral describes it as "SSU rRNA". It matches the Rfam family "Eukaryotic small subunit ribosomal RNA", at positions 62 to 1096 of the family's 1831-position model. Lineage: Eukaryota; Fungi; Ascomycota; Sordariomycetes; Amphisphaeriales; Sporocadaceae. The record is from RNAcentral.
AGUAUAAGCAUUAUACAGCGAAACUGCGAAUGGCUCAUUAAAUCAGUUAUCGUUUAUUUGAUAGUACCUUACUACUUGGAUAACCGUGGUAAUUCUAGAGCUAAUACAUGCUAAAAACCCCGACUCACGAAGGGGUGUAUUUAUUAGAUUAAAAACCAAUGCCCUUCGGGGCUCUUUGGUGAUUCAUAAUAACUUUUCGAAUCGCAUGGCCUUGCGCCGGCGAUGGUUCAUUCAAAUUUCUGCCCUAUCAACUUUCGAUGGCAGGGUCUUGGCCUGCCAUGGUUACAACGGGUAACGGAGGGUUAGGGCUCGACCCCGGAGAAGGAGCCUGAGAAACGGCUACUACAUCCAAGGAAGGCAGCAGGCGCGCAAAUUACCCAAUCCCGAUUCGGGGAGGUAGUGACAAUAAAUACUGAUACAGGGCUCUUUUGGGUCUUGUAAUUGGAAUGAGUACAAUUUAAAUCCCUUAACGAGGAACAAUUGGAGGGCAAGUCUGGUGCCAGCAGCCGCGGUAAUUCCAGCUCCAAUAGCGUAUAUUAAAGUUGUUGCAGUUAAAAAGCUCGUAGUUGAACCUUGGGCCUGGCUGGCCGGUCCGCCUCACCGCGUGCACUGGUUCGGCCGGGCCUUUCCCUCUGGGGAACCUCAUGGUCUUCACUGAUCGUGACGGGGAACCAGGACUUUUACUGUGAAAAAAUUAGAGUGUUCAAAGCAGGCCUAUGCUCGAAUACAUUAGCAUGGAAUAAUAAAAUAGGACGUGUGGUUCUAUUUUGUUGGUUUCUAGGACCGCCGUAAUGAUUAAUAGGGACAGUCGGGGGCAUCAGUAUUCAAUUGUCAGAGGUGAAAUUCUUGGAUUUAUUGAAGACUAACUACUGCGAAAGCAUUUGCCAAGGAUGUUUUCAUUAAUCAGGAACGAAAGUUAGGGGAUCGAAGACGAUCAGAUACCGUCGUAGUCUUAACCAUAAACUAUGCCGACUAGGGAUCGGACGGUGUUACUUAUUGACCCGUUCGGCACCUUACGAGAA